Molecule: long non-coding RNA, 2402 nt
Organism: Scophthalmus maximus (turbot)
Lineage: Eukaryota; Metazoa; Chordata; Actinopteri; Pleuronectiformes; Scophthalmidae
Exons: 2
Source: RefSeq, a predicted model, not a curated record
AGCGCGGACCGCCGCGGAGGUGGGGCUAUUUUUGGAGCCGCCAAGGGAUUCACCCAGUGAAAUUUACAUUACUGGAAUUCCAGUCGUGUCAGCACUUAAAAGACAUUGAUUUUCUCUCUCUCCUGCUGCUCAAAGGAGACACUUGGAAUCUCAAUAGGUGAGCUAAAACAACAGCGUGCCAAUUUUAGACACGUUAACAGGUCUUAUAAGCACAAGGUGUUUCUUUAGGCGCGCUGUGAGGCGCUCGGCGCUCGGCUCCUCCGACCUCCGUGAACUCGCGGUCACAGCGGUUUCGUCACAUUACACGCACGGCGUCAUCUUCCACGAGCACCUGCAGGCACAAUGUGAUCCUGACCUUCUCAAAUGGUGCGACGACGUUCAGCAAUGAGUCUUGAUCCACAGAUCCAUGAGAAGGGAUAAUGCAGGACUCUUUUUUCUUUUUUUUUUUUGAUGCCUGCGGGGGGAACUGUCAUUCCACUUCUGAUUUCAAAUUGCCAUGCGGAGGAUGAAAAAAGAAAAACAGCUGCUGCAGCGAGAGACAGACGACGCUUCCAGAAUCGAGAUUGGAUUAGAGUCAUCCUUGGGUUUCUCUGACAUCUGCUCUCGCAUCGCGACCGACGCGACGACAGCUUCUGAUGUCAACACCGGCUCCAGACCUCGGACACGCACGGGAGGAAAACCUCCAGAGGAUUCCAGUAUGUUUAAACCCUACGCGACGUGUACAUUUUGCCGAUCAACUCGGCCCACGGGUUACGGUCUGGAAGCAUUAUCUUUCCAGAGUUAAACAACCAAGGAGGCUCCAAGGCCGUCGUCCAGCCGUGCAGCCCUGAACAGAUGCACGUGAACAGUUUCUGAUUCAAGGUUCUGACGGUUGAGCUUUUCCCGGAGCUUUCAGCCAUAUCCAGUGGCCCUCAUCGGUGUUUAAUGGAGGCGGAUCUGUGGCCAACUCCAUCUGCUCAUCAGUUGAAAGGCCCUGGAAAGAAAAUACAAGCGAGUGGACAUUGAUUUUCAUCAAACCACAAUCUCCCAGUUAGGGAACGAGCGACGGCAGGGGUGAAUGCAACAGCUCCGCCUCGUCGUCGCACCAAGAAAAAGGAAAAAUGCCUGCUCUUACUUUUCAUCGUUGCCGUUUGUCAUUCUUCGUAUUUUUCUUGGACCAAACAAAUGCAGAGUGGACAAACUGCUUCGUGUUUGAACGGAAACGUAUUCAUGCCGACGUGACCCAACGCCACCCCCCGACUGAUUGGGACAACAUGACUCGCUACGAUCAAAACCCCGCGGAUAAGAGUUCAUUUCUACAGAUGAACAGUGACAAAUGUGACAGGAGGAGCCGUCAUCAGGCCUUUCAUUAAGACGACUUCAAGUCAUGUGCACAUGAUUACCCAAUUAACUCUUCGAACGCUGUGGCUUUCACACACACACACACACACACACACAAACACACACACACUCACACACUCACACUCACACAAACAGCUCGGGGUACCGCGACACCUUUUUAAUCAUCCCUGUCGUGUUUAUGCAACGGGAUAAUUAGGUGAUGAAAUGUAAACGACUCCAGGAGAUACACAAACCGCUCACGAUGCCCGACGCAGACUCCUAUCUCAGCGCCAUCAGCAACCGACUGGCAGCCGUUGGUUCAUGGCCACGUUCUCGCGUGUGCUGUGUAUGGCAUCAUUACGAAACGCUUUUUUUAUUAAUUCUACAGGGGCCAUUUUGGGGGGGGUUCUGUUUGGCAUCAAUCGUGAAAAAUGACUCCAGGAUCGUCGUAAAUCUGUUCAUAAGCAGCGGCGCUGUGUGUUUACACGCGCGAACGUGAGCGAGAGCAGAGCUCGGCUUAUGCCGUCAAGUCGUAAGCUCUCGGGUCCCGGCGAGGUCCGAGGAGGAGGAGGAGGAAGAGGAGGAGGAAGAGGAGGAGGAGGAAGAGGAGGAGGGCCGCAGAAGACAGUUUAAUGAUUAUUACUUGCCCGAAGCCAAACUCAUAACUCAUGUUCUCCCUCCCUGGCUCUCUACGUCUCCAUCCAGCUGAGAGGUGUUGACAGGUGAAGAGUUAGUGAGACAAACAGAUAUUUGGUUUACAGGUGUCGAGGCACAUCAGUUUACAUAAAACCUGUUCGGGGAGCUGCUGCGAGUUCAUGUGUGUUCACGCGUGGAACUGAACUACUCCGGGUGAAGUUCAGUCACUUCAGCAGUCGAAAAGAAAACUUUUUGUUAUAUUUUUUUUUCCCCGGUGAAUUUUUUUGGUUUGGUGACGUUUGUGAGUCGACGAAGCGGCGACUUUUAGAGCUAAUUUGCUGCACAACGUCACAUUCCUGCACAGUUCAGUUACAGACAAACCACAAGAGCAUUUACUUUUUUUUGUUUGAAGAAAAAAAAAAUGAAAUAAAUGCAGUAAAACGUCA